CCAUGUGGUCAUAGCUCCUUGUCAAUUCUCGAUCUUGUCUGAUUGGGGAAGCUAAGCAGGAUUGGCCUGGUUAGUACAUGGCUGAGAGACCACAAGGAAUACCAAGUGCCACAGUGG
This 117-nucleotide ribosomal RNA is filed under the name Periophthalmus magnuspinnatus. Lineage: Eukaryota; Metazoa; Chordata; Actinopteri; Gobiiformes; Gobiidae. The record is from RNAcentral.